GGGGAUAAUAUAACUGUUUUAAGGUUGCUUGUUUUGUAGGUCGCCGGCGAGAUCCAGUCAAUGACAACAGAGAAUACGAGUCAUUGGAGGGUCGGUCUAGCCCAAACGUCUAUGAAGAUCUCCAUGGCACAACAUCUGGUGAGAGAGAAAUAUACAUCACCACCGCAAUUGCAGAGGGGGAUUCUGGUUCCGGAAAUUAGUCGAUCUGGUUCACAAGAAAUCGUAAUAAUGAACAACUCGAGGAAGCUUUAAUUAAUACGUCAGUUUUUCAAAAUAUUUCUAUUGGACUUAGCCUAUCAAACGUAGAUCGGAACCGUGAUGAAUAAUAAUCAAUAUACAUGUUAGUCCCAGAGCUUUGUGGUUGUUGACAAUGACCAUGUCAGCAGCCCUCACCUCUGCGAUUGUGACAGCCGCGGU
Molecule: long non-coding RNA, 417 nt
Organism: Mizuhopecten yessoensis (Yesso scallop)
Lineage: Eukaryota; Metazoa; Mollusca; Bivalvia; Pectinida; Pectinidae
Exons: 3
Source: RefSeq, a predicted model, not a curated record